GGUCCUAUAGCUCAGUUGGUUAGAGCACCUGACUCAUAAUCAGGGAGUCCUUGGUUCAAGCCCAAGUGGGACCACAA
Molecule: transfer RNA, 77 nt
Filed under: Macellibacteroides fermentans
Lineage: Bacteria; Pseudomonadati; Bacteroidota; Bacteroidia; Bacteroidales; Porphyromonadaceae
Also listed under: 5 other names
Description: tRNA_Met_CAT
Rfam family: tRNA
About the family: Transfer RNA (tRNA) molecules are approximately 80 nucleotides in length. Their secondary structure includes four short double-helical elements and three loops (D, anti-codon, and T loops).
Source: RNAcentral